GACGAACGCUGGCGGCGUGCUUAACACAUGCAAGUCGAGCGGUAAGGCCCUUUCGGGGGUACACGAGCGGCGAACGGGUGAGUAACACGUGGGUGACCUGCCCUUAGCUCUGGGAUAAGCCUGGGAAACUGGGUCUAAUACCGGAUAUGACUCCAUAACGCAUGUUGUGGGGUGAAAGCCUUGUGCGGCUAGGGAUGGGCCCG
This 203-nucleotide ribosomal RNA is filed under the name uncultured bacterium. RNAcentral describes it as "partial 16S ribosomal RNA". It matches the Rfam family "Bacterial small subunit ribosomal RNA", at positions 28 to 233 of the family's 1533-position model. The record is from RNAcentral.